Non-coding RNA from Pangasius djambal, 74 nucleotides. NCBI's taxonomy places the organism in Eukaryota, Metazoa, Chordata, Actinopteri, Siluriformes, Pangasiidae. The record is from the annotation of a GenBank genome assembly.
GGAAGUGGUAGCUUAGUGGUUAAGACUUUGGACUCCUGAUCAGAAGGUUGAAAGUUCAAGUCCCUGCACUGUCA